AUGGACAAGGGAUUCAAAUUGUAGAAAGAAAUCCUGCAGACAGGAUUUACAAGGCUGUUGAAAUCUUGAAGGCUGUUUUUGUUUUGCUUGGUUGCUGGCCUUCAUGUUGGAAAAUGUGUCCCAAAAAGUCAAUCGUCAAGCUGUUGACGAUUGAGCAACCGAGUAUUGUAAUUGAUUUGUUAAUAAACAAAAUAUAUUUGGCAUUUUCAUCAUAAGCUUUCAUCUUCUA
Molecule: long non-coding RNA, 229 nt
Filed under: Elaeis guineensis (African oil palm)
Lineage: Eukaryota; Viridiplantae; Streptophyta; Magnoliopsida; Arecales; Arecaceae
Description: long non-coding RNA (EGUI_LNC082925)
Source: RNAcentral